UUAUUUGAGAGGCAUAUAUAUAUAUAUAUAUAUAUAGAGAGAGAGAGAGAGAGAGCGAGCUCUCAUUUAUCAGCUCACUCCCAAAAUAUCAGUAGUAGCCAGGGGGCCAAAGCCAGGAACUAGAAACUCAAUCCAGGACUUCCACAUGGGUGACAGGGACUCACUAUUUGAUCCAUCACCUGCUGCCUCACAAAGCACACAUUAUCAGGAAGCUGGAGCCAGAUGCCAGAGCUCAGGCACUCUAAUGUGAAAUGUGGGCUCUCAACCAACAUUCAAAUUUCUAGGCCAAAUGCCUGCCCCUUGCCCUGACAUUUUUAAGCAUAUUUCAUUCUAACCCACUUGGUGUAUGCUAUUCUAUUGCUUCUUUGGUAAACCCAAAAACAUAGUUUUCUGACUUUGAAUCACAGGGAGCAUUAGUUAGAGUCCAAAUCCAUUCCUUUUCAGAAAGCAUGUACUCCCUUUGAUAUCACAUAGAAUAUUUAUCUUCUGGGACUUCUCCUUCAUUUUCUCCAGGGCCAAGAGACUUUUUUAACCCACAAGCAACAAAGACAUCAACUAUAACAUAUCUUUCAGAACCUAAGGAGUACUGUUGGGCCAGGUGCCCCAUUUCAUCUCUAUCUUGAUUGGUAAAUAAAGCUCAAUGUGGCCAUAACCCACAUGAAUAGGGUUUUUUUUAUAUGCUAUUCUUGCCUGGUACCAAAUGGGUGUCACCAAAAAUAAACUCCAUGAAUUCAACUCCCAAAAUAUGGAAUAAAGCGAAUCAGGACUGCAGCUAUCUUGGCUUGUGUUAUCCCUAACAGUACUCCACACAGCACUUAAUUUUUUUUCUCUAGCCUGAACAUUCUUAUUUUAUUUUUCCAACCUUUAAUUUUGAAAAAUGAAAUCCAACAGAAAAUUUAAAAGAAAAGCAUGAUGAAAACCCAUAUGGCCUUCAUCUAGAUUCACUUAUCCCUCCCCCAACUCUCUCCAUCCCUCCCUCCCUCUCUCCCUCUCUCCCUCUUUCUCUCUCUCUCUUUCUUUCUCUUUUUCUCUCCCAUAAAUGUCUUUACUCGUACUUGAAAAAGUAUGAGAAAAAUGGAAUUAAAAGACGUUUAUUUUCAUACAAAAAUGAAAACAAAUAAAAAAGAAAGAAAUAUGUCCUCCACAUUCAUUGUAAUUUACUUUUUAAUAUUUGUUUAGUAAAAUUUACCAUUUUAUUUAUAAAUAUCAGUUUUCUGUUACAUUUAUUCAUGUAUAUAUAUAUGUGCAUAUAUUCUAAUUCUUGGGAUUAGAACUGUUUCUGUUUGUUCUCACCCAUUUUCAUAUGUGUGCCGGGUACUUCUUUUCUUUCAGGAAAAUGUGAAAUGAUUGCAAAUACUUGUUGAUAUUCAUUCUCCAGCCCCAUUAAAUUAGUUGGCAUGAGCUUCUAGCAUAUGUUGCCAAAAUUCAGCCAUGGCAAAUUUUUCAUUUUCAAGUAGUUUUGUGGCUUUAAUAAUGGUCCCCCUAGCUGAGUCUUGGGUUCCUGAGUAGCUGGGCUCUUUGUUAAGAGGAUUUCCCACCCUUCAGCCACUCAGUUCAGAUAUAGCCCCAAGUUCAAUCCUGCAUUCCCUGUCCCAUGCCAAUGGUUCUAUAUACUUUCUCUCAUCUUGUCCUAAGAACCCUGUGGGACUGGAAUUAAUGUUGUCAUUCUAAGGAGAGCAAUCUUUGAUUCAGGAGAUUCUUAGGAUCAGAGUUUUUUUUUAAAUAAGAUAAUUUGUAGAUUGUGUUCAUUGUCUCAAAAAAUAGGCAGAAGCACUAGGAGAUUAAGAGUACCUUAAGUUCUUUCAUGGGAUUUGGCUUUACUUAAAGCAGAUAGCUUAUUCCUAAGAGAAGUUUGAGAAUUGUGUGUGUGUAUGGGGGGGGGGGGGGUUUCCAAAUUUAGGAUGUGUUCUCACAGAAAAUAUGCCGCAAAAAUUUUGCCAGUUAACAAUGGGCUCUAGCUCAAGUGCAUUAUAAAAGAGGUCUCUCACUCAAUUACAAACAAUUGGGAUUCUAUUCUUAACUGUGAUAUUUGUUUAUUGAAUAAAUAAAUACUGAAGCCUAUCGAUCUUCA
This is a long non-coding RNA of Oryctolagus cuniculus (rabbit), 2071 nucleotides long. NCBI's taxonomy places the organism in Eukaryota, Metazoa, Chordata, Mammalia, Lagomorpha, Leporidae. The record is from Ensembl.